RNAcentral lists this unclassified non-coding RNA (222 nucleotides) under uncultured Nocardiaceae bacterium. RNAcentral describes it as "contains 16S-23S intergenic spacer region". Lineage: Bacteria; Bacillati; Actinomycetota; Actinomycetes; Mycobacteriales; Nocardiaceae. The record is from RNAcentral.
UCCGAGUUGACCCCGGCAGUCUCCUGCGAGUCCCCGCCAUUACGCGCUGGCAACACAGGACAAGGGUUGCGCUCGUUGCGGGACUUAACCCAACAUCUCACGACACGAGCUGACGACAGCCAUGCACCACCUGUAUACCGACCACAAGGGGGGCCGUAUCUCUGCAGCUUUCCGGUAUAUGUCAAACCCAGGUAAGGUGGGGAUGACGUUUCUAGGAGGGUG